AACGAACGCUGGCGGCAGGCUUAACACAUGCAAGUCGAACGCCCCGCAAGGGGAGUGGCAGACGGGUGAGUAACGCGUGGGAAUCUACCCAGUUCUACGGAACAACUGGGGGAAACUCCAGCAAAUACCGUAUACGCCCUACGGGGGAAAGAUUUAUCGGAAUUGGAUGAGCCCGCGUAAGAUUAGCUAGUUGGUGGGGUAAAGGCCUACCAAGGCGACGAUCUUUAGCUGGUCUGAGAGGAUGAUCAGCCACACUGGGACUGAGACACGGCCCAGACUCCUACGGGAGGCAGCAGUGGGGAAUAUUGGACAAUGGGCACAAGCCUGAUCCAGCCAUGCCGCGUGAGUGAUGAAGGCCUUAGGGUUGUAAAGCUCUUUCAGUGGGGACGAUAAUGACGGUACCCACAGAAGAAGCCCCGGCUAACUUCGUGCCAGCCGCCGCGGUAA
Molecule: ribosomal RNA, 447 nt
Filed under: uncultured bacterium
Lineage: Bacteria
Description: partial 16S ribosomal RNA
Rfam family: Bacterial small subunit ribosomal RNA
Source: RNAcentral